UACGAAGGGGGCUAGCGUUGCUCGGAAUCACUGGGCGUAAAGGGCGCGUAGGCGGCCAUUCAAGUCAGAGGUGAAAGCCCAAGGCUCAACCUUGGAACUGCCUUUGAUACUGUUUGGCUUGAGACCGGUAGAGGUAAGUGGAACUGCGAGUGUAGAGGUGAAAUUCGUAGAUAUUCGCAAGAACACCAGUGGCGAAGGCGGCGAUCUGGGAACAUACUGACGCUGAGGUGCGAAAGCGUGGGGAGCAAACAGG
Molecule: ribosomal RNA, 253 nt
Filed under: uncultured bacterium
Lineage: Bacteria
Description: partial 16S ribosomal RNA
Rfam family: Bacterial small subunit ribosomal RNA
Source: RNAcentral